RNAcentral lists this long non-coding RNA (7336 nucleotides) under Lactuca sativa (garden lettuce). RNAcentral's name for it is "long non-coding RNA (LSAT_LNC009084)". Lineage: Eukaryota; Viridiplantae; Streptophyta; Magnoliopsida; Asterales; Asteraceae. The record is from RNAcentral.
UGUCUUUGAAGUUGCUCUCAGCAACCCUCAAGAGACCUUGGAGCUUGCUUAGGGUGACCUCUUCUUUGUUCAUGUGGUAGGUCAUCCUAAAUUGAUUGUACAUCGGAGGCAAAGAGUGAAGCACCAUGUCGAUCGCCAAAUCCUCACCGAAGUCAACAUUUAACUUGCGAAGGCGGUCGACAUACCUUUGCAUCUUUUGCAAGUGCACGGUAAGAGAUUCUCCAUGACCCAUCUUCGCGGAAAUCAUGUUAGUGAAAAUCUCGUACCUCUCUUGUCUCGCGUUUUGGUGGUACCUCUCCAAUAAGUCUUGGUGCAUCUCGUACGGGUACAUGUCCUCGUAGGACUUUUGGAAUUCGGAGUUCAUGGUGGCAAUCAUGAUGCAAUGUACCUUCGUUGCAUCUCGCUCAUGAGUCUCAAAAGCGGUGAUUUCGGCCGGAGUAGCGAUUUCGGGGUUGAUUUUCUCGAGCUUCUCAUCGAGGACAUACUCCUUAUCCUCAUAGCGAGCAAUGGUGCGAAUGUAUCUUAUCCAUUCGCUAAAGUUCGUUCCAUCGAAGGUGACCUUUUGGCAAAGGCUCAUCAACGUGAAAGAACUAGCAGCAGCGUUGUUUGCGUUCGACAUCUACAAUUAGAAAAGGACAAAGAUAGAUUAGAAUAAGAAUCCCUAAUUAUCACCCAAUAAGAAAAUUAGGGCUAGGAUCCAACAAUAACAUUUACAUACUAGAAAAGGGAUGCCGUAAUCUAACAUGCAAAUAAAUUGAAGGUAAGUGAAUGACGAUUCACUAAUUCUCCAUCACAAAACUUAAACUAUUAGUCCUAAGUGUUUUUGAGAAUUCCUAGGUUCGGAUGAGAUUCAUUGAAACUAUUCAAUGGCAUGUUUAAAUCUCGAUAUGCCCCUCUUGUUUGUGACUGGGAUGCCGAGGAUCACAAAGCGGGUGUGAAUUACCAUGCAAAUUCACAUGGUGCCUUCAUUGUAACGAUCACCUAUUCGAUGUGCCGGUAAACCACACACGCUCCAUCGAACUAUGAUAAACAAUGAAUCACCCUUUGCCACCUUCGCUUAGAACCAAUUAGUGUGCCGGUAAACCACACACGCUCCACUAACAUCUUAGCAAGGUGCAAAGUGUAAUUUCAUGGGAUUGCAUCAAUUCACUUUUCCUAAAGUAACUAGGAUUGGGAAAUUUUAAAAUAUGUGUAGUUACUUUGUAUUUCUUAUUAUACUUUUAAUGAGAGGAUGAGGUUGCCCUAUCCUACCCGUUCGGCUAACGACCCUCCACCAAUCAAGCAAGCGGUGGGUGUGAGUGUACACCCAUUAAGCGCCAUUUUAUAGGCCGCAACCUUAUACCCACCUUAUAGAUCGGCUUCGUGAAUGAGGCCUACUAACGGUAAGACUAGCAUUUAGUUAUACAUAUAUAUAUUAUUCUAGUAAUAUCAUAUUAGUAUAGGGUUGUAUUUUAAAACUUUUAAAAUCUAGGGUUUGAAAUUUAAGUUGUCUAAAUUAAAACUUUUAAUCACAAAAGUAAAUUUCAAAACAUGAGGGUAGGUUUUAAACAUUUAAAACAUGGAGGAUCAAAUAACAAAUAAUUCCAAUUAACAAUUAAUAUCCUAAUUAUCUAUAUUUGAUUUAUUCAAGAUUUCUUUUUAAGAUAAUUACCAAAAUAAUUAAAAUAAUUAAUUAAUUAUCAUAUAAGGAAAUUAAAUAUUUAAUUAGUUGAUAAUUACCUUUAACUAGAUCAAGAUAAUAGUUAUAUUUAUCAGAAAAACGAAUUAAUGUUGAUCUAAUUAGUUUAUGGUAAGUUAAGAUAAGAUAAACACAAAGAAAUCCCGAAUCUGGCCAUUCCUGACGCCUGGACUCGCCGAGUGCACAAAUGGACUCGCCGAGUCAGGCCUACUCGCCGAGUCCACUUUGGGACUCGCCGAGUCCAUGACUCAGAAACCAAAAAAUCGAAUUUUGCAGGUUUGUUUCAGUUAAUCAAGCAACAAUUUAAAGAAAACCAAGCUAGGCUCUGAUACCACUGAUGGGUUUUAGCCAUAAGAACUUUCCUAUGUGCGCAUGCAAAACCCUAAUGCUUGGAUCUAGGCUUUCUAAUAAACAUGCAUUGAAUCCAAGUCUUCUAAUGACUAAUUAGGUUAAAUAACAACAUUGAAACAGAUCUAGAAUCAUACCUUUGAGUUCCUUGUUGAUCUUGAGGUCUUGGAGCUUCUAGAGUCACAAGUGUCACUCCUCUAAUGGCUUACAAACACCAAUAGCAAUAAGAAUGAUUUAGGAGAGAGGAGAGGGGAGGAAUUCGACCAGAGUUCUCUUGCUUUUUCAGAAGUGUCGAAUUCCCUAUGCCAUGGGGUCUAUUUAUACUUGUAGACUCCUUAAGGAUUACAGAUAAGUCCCUAUCAGAUAAUCUUCUCUUAAGGCUAUCCAAAUCCAUUCCUAGAUAACUCUAAUGGACGAUUUUAGCUAUCCUAAUCCUCUUAGAAUUCGUCCAUAGCAUAUCCAAAUGGAUUUACAGUCUAAAGCUUAACUAUCAAACAAUUGACAGUUUAUACCCCUUUAUUUAAUUAAUCUCUUUAAGUCACCAAAUUAAUUCUAAUUAAUUCUAUGACUUAUAUUAAUCAAAUAACAAAUAUAUUAUUCAUUAUAUUAUUCUCAUAAUAUAUUAAUAAUAUUUACUCUCUCUUAAUAAAUCAUCCUAUCAAGUUGCUAUGGUGAAGGCAACCCAAAAGGACCAUGCACAACCGGAUCAAAUACUUGCCUAAUAUAGUUACAGCCUUAGACACUAUUCCAACAGUCUCCCACUUGGAUAAGUCUAGUAACUAUACAAGUACAAUUCGGUUUGCAAUCGUAGCUCUCAAAGACGCUGUCAACUCUGAUCUAAUCAAUCUUGUCCUUUAGAUAAGGGAACGUACAGUCCUCUGUUAGAUAUCAUGCUGACAAUCCUAUGGAAUGGUUAGUCAAGCAUUUAGGUUUCUCGAUCUCUGAUUUAUUUGACAUAGAACUUAAUCGAACACAUCAAUUCAGUUCUGACCGGGCCCGGCACAUAAGUCAAAUCAAAUCAUCGAGCGGCCGAGAUAUCGCUUUUACCUUCUUAGAUAAAAGUUACAGAUAAACUUCGACUUAUAUGCAUUUACUUAUUCAUUUACCAACUAUACACAACAAUACGUUUUAUAACACCAAGUUACUGAUGCGUUUUCGUAUUAUCAAUGUACAAUCAAUUAACAAAUAAUAAACCAUAUAUCUAGGUUUUAAGACUAUAUGAUAUUAUCGUCUUGCGAUCACCUUUUAUAUCGUAUUCCAUAAGGUGAUUCCAGCAAGCGCGGGUUUAUUCCAAUGCUCAAAACUAGUUCAUAAGCACUCAUGAACGUUGCAGCAAUCCUUUGCUAUGUCUAACACCAUUUAGACAUUCUACACACCAAUUCAUGACAAUCUUCAUUCAUAUCUACUCCCAACAUAUGAACGAUUGUGGACCAUUUGAACAAUUCGAUUAUUCCUAAUAAACUCAAUUAUUCUGGAAGUCAAAACAUGCAAAGUGAAACAAUAGCUAAACAAUUAACAUAAGAUAGUAACAUUACUCAUAAAUAAAACUCCUUUAUUUAAUCAUCAAAUGUUAAUUACAUUUAUCUAUUACACGUUUCUAAUACUAUCUAAUCUAUGCUAAUAUCAUCCUUCAGCCCAAUACUCCUAGCAUGCUGCAAGUGCUUAACCCUACUCAGUCCCUUCGUAAGCGGAUCUGCUGGGUUAUCUUCUGAUGAUAUCCUCUUCACUACGAGUUGUCCUUCUUCUACACGAUGUCUAAUGAAGUGAUACUUUCUGUCGAUAUGUCUUGAUCUACCAUGAUCCCUCGGUUCCUUGGUUAAGGCAACCGCGCCUUCGUUAUCACAGAAAAUCUCCAUUGGCUCCUUUAUGGCAGGUACAACUCCAAGAUCACCGAUGAAGUUCUUUAGCCAUAUUGCCUCCUUCGACGCUUCGCUCGCUGCAAUGUACUCUGAUUCGCACGUUGAAUCAGCUACGGUUUCCUGCUUGGAACUCUUCCAUGUCACUGCUCCUCCAUUUAGGGUAAAGACCCAGCCCGACUGCGAACGGUAGUUGUCCCUGUCGGUCUGAAAACUGGCGUCACUAUACCCUCGCACCUUCAAGUCAUCACUCCCUCCGAGGACUAAGAACCAUUCCUUCGUCCUCCGAAGGUACUUAAGGAUAUUCUUCACCGCAAUCCAAUGUGCUUUGCCAGGAUUCCCUUGAUAUCUGCUAACCAUGCUCAAAGCGAAGGCUACAUCAGGGCGAGUACAAGUCAUAGCGUACAUGAUUGAGCCAACUGCGGAAGCGUAUGGUACUCGGCUCAUUUCUGCUAUCUCAGCUUCGGUACUCGGACUUUGAGUCUUACUCAAUUUGGCAUUACUUUGUAUCGGUAGUUCUCCCUUCUUUGAGUUUUCCAUACUAAAACGUUUUAGUACCUUCUCUAAGUAAGUAUUCUGACUAAGUCCAAUUAGUCUCUUACUUCUUUCUCUUACUAUCCUUAUUCCCAAAAUGUAAGAAGCCUCUCCGAGGUCCUUCAUAGCGAAGCACUUCCCGAGCCAGGACUUAACCUCCUGCAGAGUCGGGAUGUCGUUUCCUAUGAGUAAUAUGUCAUCGACAUAUAGAACGAGGAAGCUUACUAUACUCCCACUGGCUUUGACAUAUACACAAGAUUCGUCUUCGCUUCGUACAAAUCCAAACUCUUUGACUUUCUCAUCGAAGCAAAGAUUCCAUCUGCGAGACGCUUGCUUAAGUCCAUAAAUGGACUUCUCAAGCUUACACACUCUAUCCGGAUGCUUCGGAUCCACAAACCCCUCUGGCUGAGCCAUGUAAACAUCCUCAGCCAACUUUCCGUUAAGGAAAGCGGUCUUGACAUCCAUUUGCCAAAUCUCAUAAUCAUGAAAUGCGGCAAUAGCUAGCAUCACUCUAAUAGAUUUAAUCUUCGCAACUGGUGAGAAGGUCUCAUCAUAGUCAACUCCGGGAGUUUGAGUAAAGCCCUUCGCAACCAAUCGCGCUUUAUAUGUGUGUACGUUUCCAUCCACGUCGGUCUUCUUCUUGAAGAUCCAUUUGCACCCAACGGUCUUACGUCCGGGCACAUAAUCAACCAAAUUCCAAACUUGGUUAUCAUACAUGGAUUGGAUCUCGCUAUCCAUUGCCUCUUUCCAUUUUGCAGACUCCGGGCCUGCCAUGGCUUCCUUAUAGCUAUUAGGUUCAUCAAGAUUUACUAGUGUACCAUCACUAAUAUACGUGUCCCCUUCGGUAGUAAUAUGAAAACCAUAAAACUGGGGAAGAACUCUAACUCUAUCGGAACGUCUAAGAGGUAAGGAUUCGUCAAUCGGUUCAACCGGAGUUUCCUCCUCGGGUUGAGUGCCAGCGGUAGAGGUUCCUUCAUCUAUCGACUCUUGAAUCUCUUCAAGUUCGAUUUGCCUCCCACUGUCUCCUUGGCUUAUGAGUUCUCGCUCUCGGAAAACUCCUCUCCUCGCAACGAAGACAACAUUGUCCUUCGGUCUAUAGAAGAGAUAUCCAAAGGAUGUCUGCGGGUAGCCGAUGAAAAUACAUCGCUCACUUCGAGGUUCAAGCUUGUCGUGAGUAUCUCGUCUUACGAAAGCCUCGCAACCCCAAACCUUGAUAUGUGCCAACGAGGGAGCUUUCCCUGUCCACAUCUCGUGAGGUGUUUUGGCAACCUUCUUAGUAGGGACUCGGUUAAGGAUAUGGGCGGCAGUCUCUAAGGCAUACCCCCAAAAAGAGAUAGGUAGUGAAGCACGACUCAUCAUAGAGCGAACCAUAUCCAAUAAGGUUCGAUUACGCCUUUCUGCCACACCAUUCAACUGCGGUGUCCUAGGAGGCGUCAAUUGUGAAACUAUUCCACACUCCUUGAGAUAAUCGUGGAAUUCAAGACUUAGGUACUCUCCUCCUCGAUCGGAUCGAAGCAUCUUGAUUUUCCUGCCCAAUUGAUUCUCCACUUCAUUCUUGAACUCUUUGAACUUUUCAAAGGUGUCUGACUUUUGCUUGAUUAAGUAGAUAUACCCAUAUCUACUAUAGUCAUCGGUAAAAGUCACGUAGAAGCGGUUCCCAUCCUUCGUGGUUGAUCUAAACGGUCCACAUACAUCGGUAUGUAUUAGGUCCAAUAGACCCUCACCCCUUUCACACGUACUCGUGAAGGGUGACUUAGUCAUCUUUCCAAGUAAACAAGACUCGCAUGUGUCAUCUUCCCUAAGGUCGAAUGACUCCAACACUCCAUCCUUUUGGAGUUGGGCUAUGCGUUUCUUGUUGACAUGUCCAAGACGACAAUGCCACAAGGAUGCUUUAUCCAUACUAGUGGAAGAAUCUAUAUUCAAAACAUCAUUUCCUAAGUUAUCAACAAUCAUAACAGUUUCAUAAAUUCCAUUACAUGGUAUAGCUUCAAAGUAAAAGACACCAUUUAGAUAAGCCAAAAUAGAACCAUUCUCAUUAUUAAAAGAAAAUCUAAAACCUUGUCUAUAUAAACCAUGAAAUGAAAUGAUGUUUCUAGCCAUUUCUGGCGAAUAGCAACAAUUGUUCAAAUCUAAACAUAAACUAUUCCUAAGCACUAAAGAAUACACUCCAAUCUUGGUCACAGGCGACGAUCUUCUGUUCCCCAUGAUUAGAUUGAUCCUUCCUUGCUCCACAUCCCUACUUCUUCUUAGUCCCUGCACAUUAGAACAAAUGUGAUAACCACAACCGGUAUCAAGAACCCAAGAAAUAGCAUGAUUAGAAUCGUUAGAUUUAAUUGUGUAUAUACCUGCGAAAGAUGGCUUGAUCUUUCCUUCUUUGAUUGCUUGCAGGUACUCUGGGCAGCUUCUCUUCCAAUGUCCUAUCUUGUGGCAGUGGUGGCACUCUGCCUCCUUCGGGUUAGGGCAGGGCUUAGCGGGAUCAACUUUGGUCCCACUAGAAGAGGCACCAUCUCGGGCUUUAACCUUGCGAUAGUUCUUAGAUGAAGCCUUCCUCUUCUUUCCCUUUCCUUGACCAAUAGCCAAGACAGGAGCAGCGGGUGGAUUGGGAGUUGGUGCAACAGACUUGUCUUUGAAGUUGCUCUCAGCGACCCUCAAGAGACCUUGGAGUUUGCUUAGGGUGACCUCCUCUUUGUUCAUGUGGUAGGUCAUCCUAAAUUGAUUGUACAUCGGAGGCAAAGAGUGAAGCACCAUGUCGAUCGCCAAGUCUUCCCCAAAGUCAACAUUUAACUUGCGAAGGCGGUCGACAUACCUUUGCAUCUUUUGCAAGUGCACGGUAAGAGAUUCUCCAUGACCCAUCUUAGCGGAAAUCAUGUUAGUGAAAAUCUCAUAACGCUCUUGUCUCGCGUUUUGGUGGUAUCUCUCC